UGCAGAGGCACCACGAGGAGCACGUCGAGACACUGGAGAGGCAGCGCUGACAACAGGUUGACUGUGUGACUGAGAGACGAUUACAGCAAAAGAAAAUCGAUAAAAGAGAGAAUAUUGGAUUACUACAUACACCGCCUCCCUUUGGGUCGUGCUCACCCUUGCAGCUCGUCAGUGUCCUCUGACAGAGUACACUUCCUCAUCAGGCAGACACGCAGCAGUGCCACCAGGUGUCGGUAAAGAGCAGCAUCAUCCUGAGGGAGGCUGACAGGUUAAUCAUGGGUCAUGGUCACCAACCUCACUUGGCUCCUGCCUGUGGGUGCUGUAGGUGACGUUGAAGAGGAUUUUGAGGAUCUCUAUGACACGCUGAGAGGCUUCCAGUGAGAUGG
Larimichthys crocea (large yellow croaker) is the source of this 386-nucleotide long non-coding RNA. RefSeq lists it as uncharacterized. The transcript is spliced from 3 exons. The record is from RefSeq and is a predicted model, not a curated record. NCBI's taxonomy places the organism in Eukaryota, Metazoa, Chordata, Actinopteri, Sciaenidae.